AAUGCCGGUUUCGAGCAGUUUCUAUCUCUCAACACGUUUUUCCGUCGUUAUGCCAGUGCUAAGUAUUCGUCAUAAAAACUAAUUUUAGUGGUUAUAAAAUGAGAGCUUGUGUGAAAUUUUGUGAUCGGGAAGAAAGGGUAAAUGUCCAAGUAACGAAAAUUAAAAACUUUGAUCAAAAAACGUGAGUUAAACUCAAGUAAUAUAAAGUUACGUGCAACGAUAUUGUGGAGGAUGGCAUAGUUUUGCACAUUGCAGAAACAUUGGAAGCUUUGGAGACGAUAGUUAAUACCAAACGUCUUGCAGCUCCUCCUUUAAAAAAAUUAAUAUCUUCUUCCGAAGAAAGCAGCGCUGGCAAAGACGGCGACAAAACAAAUAAAGUUGGAGAAAAAAUAAGAUAAAGCGGAAAAAUACUGACAGCCUCGGACAGAAAGCAACAGUGACAAAAGUUCAGGGAAAGCCUGCUAAAAAAAUGAAAAAGCGAAGAAAACAAUCGCUACCUCAAAUUCGCAAAAAAAUACUGAUUUAUCACUUGUAUUCGGUGCACCUAAUACACCAAAGGCAACUAGUA
Leptopilina boulardi is the source of this 568-nucleotide long non-coding RNA. RefSeq lists it as uncharacterized. The transcript has 3 exons. The record is from RefSeq and is a predicted model, not a curated record. Lineage: Eukaryota; Metazoa; Arthropoda; Insecta; Hymenoptera; Figitidae.